Molecule: ribosomal RNA, 253 nt
Filed under: uncultured bacterium
Lineage: Bacteria
Description: partial 16S ribosomal RNA
Rfam family: Bacterial small subunit ribosomal RNA
Source: RNAcentral
UACGGAGGUGGCGAGCGUUGUCCGAAGUUACUGGGCGUAAAGCGCGCGUAGGCGGGCUAGUAAGUCGGCUGUGAAAGGCUGGAGCUUAACUCCAGCAGUGCUCCCGAUACUGUUAGUCUUGAGGGCGGCAGGGAGAAGUGGAAUGGCUGGUGUAGCGGUGAAAUGCGUAGAUAUCAGUCGGAACACCGGUGGCGAAGGCGGCAUCCUGGACCGGUAUUGACGCUGAGGCGCGAAAGCCAGGGGAGCAAACGGG